This is a long non-coding RNA of Esox lucius (northern pike), 1582 nucleotides long. The record is from Ensembl. Lineage: Eukaryota; Metazoa; Chordata; Actinopteri; Esociformes; Esocidae.
CUUUAAUGUUGCUCACAAGACGCUGAUUACGCUCAUUAAACGUGUUUACAAGAGUUGUCUAAAAUGAAUAAUGUUUAUCGUAUUUGAAAGAUGAUUUGCAAGGCUCCAGUUAGCAAGUUGGAGGAAGGAUUAAAGACGUAUGUAUCGACAUACAUAAACGAUUACGAAGGUAUUCAUUUUCAUGAAAUGAGGUCCAGUGAAGCUGGUUCGGGGACAGCACAGUAGUUAGGAUCCAGAUGAUGAAUUUGAAGUCGCAUACUGCAAGUCUUUUUGUGGGCGGAAGGGUGGUGCUUACGUUGGGUAACAUCGAGUCAACCAUGAAGAUAACCUGCUCGGAGUAGUUCAGAGAUCCAGCGUAAAUUGCCAUGGCAGCAUACCCCGGGUAAAAUGUAUUCACCUUUCGUAAUACGGGUUAAUCAAGAAAUUACACCCGACGUCACUAAGUUACUCAAAUCAAAACGGCAGCGCAGAGAUGCCUAGAGACAUCAAUAUUUACUCCUUUCCUCACUCACCUCCAUGUCACCUGCCCUGUUGGCAUCUCUUUCUUUACCCUGAACGCACCAGAGUGCACAUGAAAGAAAUAUCAGUAAACAAGUUUCUUGCCAUGAUGUUCAGGAAUGGAUUAAUAACUAUUUCUGAUCUGAACUGCAAUUAUUAUUUUAAUAAACAUUGACUCUCUUGUGCUACUGCAUACUAGUAUCAUCUGACGUACUAAUUUUCUCACUGCUCUCAACUUUUCUGAGGCUGCCCAAAAAACUGAUGAAUGUCACUGCCACCCUUCCUCUUGUUCAUGAUGAUACUCACAGUGAAUGAAAGCUGAUUUAUAAAACUGCUUGCACUUAAAUCAAACAAACACUAAUGACGCUAUUUAUCAUAAGCAAAUACAGCUAAACAGUAUACUAUACGAAUAUGCAAUCAAUGAAAAAGACUACUGUCUGCACCAGUAACACAUGCAGCGCAACAUCAAUGAUUGACACUUUAUGCAGACUUCAACUGGGCUUUCUGCCAUUUCUAACAAAACCAUUAACGUAAUACAUUAACGUUAGUUGAAUACGCAUAUGAGCACCAUUGUGGUGGUUGAUUAGCACUCGCAAAUCGGCCCGUUUUCGCCAAAAACGUUUGUUUACGCUCCAUGCAAAUAUUGACGCUUUUUAACUAUUAUUUAUUCCCACAAUUACAGUUCCAGCGCAAAAUGACGAGUGUUAAUGUUAAAACUAUCACAAUCGACAGGAAGAUAUACGUAACACUCAUAUUAAAUUUUUGUUUUCCACUUUUUAAUACAUUUGAAAGUAAUAAGAGAGUACUGUGUUCGUCAUUGAUUGUACCUACCAACAGCAAUCGACCGACGGCUCAGGUACGGCAACAACACUUGGACAAACUACACACAGAACUGCAGUAAACCGCAAAACUCGUACCGGUAGUUUAGUUAUGGCUAUGUUUACAUUUGCUAAUGAUUAUUUUGGGAUGUUCCCCCCCCCCCCCCCCCCAAUAUAUAUUGCAAUUACGGCCUUGGUAUACACCAUCAUGUGAUGUCAGUGAGUUACCCCAGAGGAGUCAGACCUAAUGCCAAGACAUGUAAAAG